Molecule: ribosomal RNA, 406 nt
Filed under: uncultured Glomeromycotina
Lineage: Eukaryota; Fungi; Glomeromycota
Description: SSU rRNA
Rfam family: Eukaryotic small subunit ribosomal RNA
Source: RNAcentral
AUUGGUUUCUCCCUUCUGACGUACCAAGAUGUCAUUAAUUUGGUGUCUUGGGGAAUCAGGACUGUUACUUUGAAAAAAUUAGAGUGUUUAAAGCAGGCUCGCGCUUGAAUACAUUAGCAUGGAAUAAUGAAAUAGGACGUUUGAUUCUAUUUUGUUGGUUUCUAGGAUCGACGUAAUGAUUAAUAGGGAUAGUUGGGGGCAUUAGUAUUCAAUUGUCAGAGGUGAAAUUCUUGGAUUUAUUGAAGACUAACUACUGCGAAAGCAUUUGCCAAGGAUGUUUUCAUUAAUCAAGAACGAAAGUUAGGGGAUCGAAGACGAUCAGAUACCGUCGUAGUCUUAACCAUAAACUAUGCCGACUAGGGAUCGGAUGAUGUUAAUUUUUUAAUGACUCAUUCGGCGCCUUACG